ACGCACGCUGGCGGCGUGCCUAAUCCAUGCAAGUAGAACGCUGAAGGAGGAGCUUGCUCUUCUGGAUGAGUUGCGAACGGGUGAGUAACGCGUAGGUAACCUGCCUGGUAGCGGGGGAUAACUAUUGGAAACGAUAGCUAAUACCGCAUAACAGUAGAUGUUGCAUGACAUUUACUUAAAAGGUGCAAUUGCAUCACUACCAGAUGGACCUGCGUUGUAUUAGCUAGUUGGUGGGGUAACGGCUCACCAAGGCGACGAUACAUAGCCGACCUGAGAGGGUGAUCGGCCACACUGGGACUGAGACACGGCCCAGACUCCUACGGGAGGCAGCAGUAGGGAAUCUUCGGCAAUGGACGGAAGUCUGACCGAGCAACGCCGCGUGAGUGAAGAAGGUUUUCGGAUCGUAAAGCUCUGUUGUAAGAGAAGAACGAGUGUGAGAGUGGAAAGUUCACACUGUGACGGUAUCUUACCAGAAAGGGACGGCUAACUACGUG
This 494-nucleotide ribosomal RNA is filed under the name uncultured bacterium. RNAcentral's name for it is "partial 16S ribosomal RNA". It matches the Rfam family "Bacterial small subunit ribosomal RNA", at positions 29 to 507 of the family's 1533-position model. The record is from RNAcentral.